GGGUUGUGAGGUUAAGCGACUAAGCGUACACGGUGGAUGCCCUGGCAGUCAGAGGCGAUGAAGGGCGUGCUAAUCUGCGAUAAGCGCCGGUAAGGUGAUAUGAACCGUUAUAACCGGCGAUACCCGAAUGGGGAAACCCAGUGUGAUUCGUCACACUAUCAUUAACUGAAUCCAUAGGUUAAUGAGGCGAACCGGGGGAACUGAAACAUCUAAGUACCCCGAGGAAAAGAAAUCAACCGAGAUUCCCCCAGUAGCGGCGAGCGAACGGGGAGGAGCCCAGAGCCUGAAUCAGCAUGUGUGUUAGUGGAAGCGUCUGGAAAGGCGCGCGAUACAGGGUGACAGCCCCGUACACAAAAGCGCAUGUGCUGUGAGCUCGAUGAGUAGGGCGGGACACGUGGUAUCCUGUCUGAAUAUGGGGGGACCAUCCUCCAAGGCUAAAUACUCCUGACUGACCGAUAGUGAACCAGUACCGUGAGGGAAAGGCGAAAAGAACCCCGGCGAGGGGAGUGAAAAAGAACCUGAAACCGUGUACGUACAAGCAGUGGGAGCNNNNNNNNNNNNNNNNNNNNNNNNNNNNNNNNNNNNNNNNNNNNNNNNNNNNNNNNNNNNNNNNNNNNGGGCGUUAAGUUGCAGGGUAUAGACCCGAAACCCGGUGAUCUAGCCAUGGGCAGGUUGAAGGUUGGGUAACACUAACUGGAGGACCGAACCGACUAAUGUUGAAAAAUUAGCGGAUGACCUGUGGCUGGGGGUGAAAGGCCAAUCAAACCGGGAGAUAGCUGGUUCUCCCCGAAAGCUAUUUAGGUAGCGCCUCGUGAAUUCAUCUCCGGGGGUAGAGCACUGUUUCGGCUAGGGGGCCAUCCCGGCUUACCAACCCGAUGCAAACUGCGAAUACCGGAGAAUGUUAUCACGGGAGACACACGGCGGGUGCUAACGUCCGUCGUGAAGAGGGAAACAACCCAGACCGCCAGCUAAGGUCCCAAAGUCAUGGUUAAGUGGGAAACGAUGUGGGAAGGCCCAGACAGCCAGGAUGUUGGCUUAGAAGCAGCCAUCAUUUAAAGAAAGCGUAAUAGCUCACUGGUCGAGUCGGCCUGCGCGGAAGAUGUAACGGGGCUAAACCAUGCACCGAAGCUGCGGCAGCGACACUGUGUGUUGUUGGGUAGGGGAGCGUUCUGUAAGCCUGCGAAGGUGGCCUGUGAGGGUUGCUGGAGGUAUCAGAAGUGCGAAUGCUGACAUAAGUAACGAUAAAGCGGGUGAAAAGCCCGCUCGCCGGAAGACCAAGGGUUCCUGUCCAACGUUAAUCGGGGCAGGGUGAGUCGACCCCUAAGGCGAGGCCGAAAGGCGUAGUCGAUGGGAAACGGGUUAAUAUUCCCGUACUUGGUGUUACUGCGAAGGGGGGACGGAGAAGGCUAUGUUGGCCGGGCGACGGUUGUCCCGGUUUAAGCGUGUAGGUGUGUGUUCCAGGUAAAUCCGGUUCACUUUAACACUGAGGCGUGACGACGAGGCACUACGGUGCUGAAGCAACAAAUGCCCUGCUUCCAGGAAAAGCCUCUAAGCAUCAGGUAACAUCAAAUCGUACCCCAAACCGACACAGGUGGUCAGGUAGAGAAUACCAAGGCGCUUGAGAGAACUCGGGUGAAGGAACUAGGCAAAAUGGUGCCGUAACUUCGGGAGAAGGCACGCUGACACGUAGGUGAAGUGAUUUACUCAUGGAGCUGAAGUCAGUCGAAGAUACCAGCUGGCUGCAACUGUUUAUUAAAAACACAGCACUGUGCAAACACGAAAGUGGACGUAUACGGUGUGACGCCUGCCCGGUGCCGGAAGGUUAAUUGAUGGGGUCAGCGCAAGCGAAGCUCCUGAUCGAAGCCCCGGUAAACGGCGGCCGUAACUAUAACGGUCCUAAGGUAGCGAAAUUCCUUGUCGGGUAAGUUCCGACCUGCACGAAUGGCGUAAUGAUGGCCAGGCUGUCUCCACCCGAGACUCAGUGAAAUUGAACUCGCUGUGAAGAUGCAGUGUACCCGCGGCAAGACGGAAAGACCCCGUGAACCUUUACUAUAGCUUGACACUGAACAUUGAGCCUUGAUGUGUAGGAUAGGUGGGAGGCUUUGAAGUGUGGACGCCAGUCUGCAUGGAGCCGACCUUGAAAUACCACCCUUUAAUGUUUGAUGUUCUAACGUGGACCCGUUACCCGGGUUGCGGACAGUGUCUGGUGGGUAGUUUGACUGGGGCGGUCUCCUCCUAAAGAGUAACGGAGGAGCACGAAGGUUGGCUAAUCCUGGUCGGACAUCAGGAGGUUAGUGCAAUGGCAUAAGCCAGCUUGACUGCGAGCGUGACGGCGCGAGCAGGUGCGAAAGCAGGUCAUAGUGAUCCGGUGGUUCUGAAUGGAAGGGCCAUCGCUCAACGGAUAAAAGGUACUCCGGGGAUAACAGGCUGAUACCGCCCAAGAGUUCAUAUCGACGGCGGUGUUUGGCACCUCGAUGUCGGCUCAUCACAUCCUGGGGCUGAAGUAGGUCCCAAGGGUAUGGCUGUUCGCCAUUUAAAGUGGUACGCGAGCUGGGUUUAGAACGUCGUGAGACAGUUCGGUCCCUAUCUGCCGUGGGCGCUGGAGAACUGAGGGGGGCUGCUCCUAGUACGAGAGGACCGGAGUGGACGCAUCACUGGUGUUCGGGUUGUCAUGCCAAUGGCACUGCCCGGUAGCUAAAUGCGGAAGAGAUAAGUGCUGAAAGCAUCUAAGCACGAAACUUGCCCCGAGAUGAGUUCUCCCUGAGACUUAAAGUCUCCUGAAGGAACGUUGAAGACGACGACGUUGAUAGGCCGGGUGUGUAAGCGCAGCGAUGCGUUGAGCUAACCGGUACUAAUGAACCGUGAGGCUUAACCUUACAACGCCGAAG
Molecule: ribosomal RNA, 2888 nt
Filed under: Salmonella enterica subsp. enterica serovar Enteritidis
Lineage: Bacteria; Pseudomonadati; Pseudomonadota; Gammaproteobacteria; Enterobacterales; Enterobacteriaceae
Description: 23S ribosomal RNA
Rfam family: Bacterial large subunit ribosomal RNA
Source: RNAcentral